CCUACGGGAGGCAGCAGUGAGGAAUAUUGGUCAAUGGACGUAAGUCUGAACCAGCCAUGCCGCGUGCAGGAUGACGGCUCUAUGAGUUGUAAACUGCUUUUGUACGGGAAUAAUAGUUCUUACGUGUAGGGAUUUCAAUGUAUCGUACGAAUAAGGAUCGGCUAACUCCGUGCCAGCAGCCGCGGUAAUACGGAGGAUUCGAGCGUUAUCCGGAUUUAUUGGGUUUAAAGGGUGCGUAGGCGGUUGGAUAAGUUAGAGGUCAAAGGUCGGGGCUUAACCCCGUGCCUGCCUCUGAUACUGUACGACUAGAGAGCGGAUGAGGUAGGCGGAAUGAGUAGUGUAGCGGUGAAAUGCGUAGAUAUUACUCAGAACACCGAUUGCGCAGGCAGCUUGCUAAUCUGCAUCUGACGCUGAUGCACGAAAGCGUGGGUAGCGAACAGGAUUAGAUACCCCAGUAGUC
RNAcentral lists this ribosomal RNA (460 nucleotides) under uncultured bacterium. RNAcentral's name for it is "partial 16S ribosomal RNA". It matches the Rfam family "Bacterial small subunit ribosomal RNA", at positions 338 to 795 of the family's 1533-position model. The record is from RNAcentral.